GAGUUUGAUCGUGGCUCAGAUUGAACGCUGGCGGAAUGCUUUACACAUGCAAGUCGAGCGGCAGCGCGGGGCAACCUGGCGGCGAGCGGCGAACGGGUGAGUAAUGCAUCGGAACAUGUCCUGUCGUGGGGGAUAGCCCGGCGAAAGCCGGAUUAAUACCUCAUACGUCCGAGAGGAGAAAGUGGGGGACCGCAAGGCCUCACGCGAUUGGGUUGGCCGAUGUCCGAUUAGCUAGUUGGUGGGGUAAAGGCUCACCAAGGCGAUGAUCGGUAGCUGGUCUGAGAGGAUGAUCAGCCACACUGGGACUGAGACACGGCCCAGACUCCUACGGGAGGCAGCAGUGGGGAAUUUUGGACAAUGGGGGCAACCCUGAUCCAGCCAUUCCGCGUGAGUGAAGAAGGCCUUCGG
Molecule: ribosomal RNA, 408 nt
Filed under: uncultured beta proteobacterium
Lineage: Bacteria; Pseudomonadati; Pseudomonadota; Betaproteobacteria
Description: bacterial SSU rRNA
Rfam family: Bacterial small subunit ribosomal RNA
Source: RNAcentral